This 458-nucleotide ribosomal RNA is filed under the name Clostridioides difficile. RNAcentral's name for it is "bacterial SSU rRNA". It matches the Rfam family "Bacterial small subunit ribosomal RNA", at positions 338 to 795 of the family's 1533-position model. Lineage: Bacteria; Bacillati; Bacillota; Clostridia; Peptostreptococcales; Peptostreptococcaceae. The record is from RNAcentral.
CCUACGGGGGGCUGCAGUGGGGAAUAUUGCACAAUGGGCGAAAGCCUGAUGCAGCGACGCCGCGUGAGGGAUGGAGGCCUUCGGGUUGUAAACCUCUUUCGCUCAUGGUCAAGCCGCAACUCAAGGUUGUGGUGAGGGUAGUGGGUAAAGAAGCGCCGGCUAACUACGUGCCAGCAGCCGCGGUAAUACGUAGGGCGCGAGCGUUGUCCGGAAUUAUUGGGCGUAAAGGGCUUGUAGGCGGUUGGUCGCGUCUGCCGUGAAAUCCUCUGGCUUAACUGGGGGCGUGCGGUGGGUACGGGCUGACUUGAGUGCGGUAGGGGAGACUGGAACUCCUGGUGUAGCGGUGGAAUGCGCAGAUAUCAGGAAGAACACCGGUGGCGAAGGCGGGUCUCUGGGCCGUUACUGACGCUGAGGAGCGAAAGCGUGGGGAGCGAACAGGAUUAGAUACCCCAGUAGUC